RNAcentral lists this ribosomal RNA (447 nucleotides) under uncultured bacterium. RNAcentral's name for it is "partial 16S ribosomal RNA". It matches the Rfam family "Bacterial small subunit ribosomal RNA", at positions 338 to 795 of the family's 1533-position model. The record is from RNAcentral.
CCUACGGGUGGCUGCAGUAGGGAAUUUUCGGCAAUGGGCGGAACCCUGACCGAGCAACGCCGCGUGAACGAAGAAGUAUUUCGGUAUGUAAAGUUCUUUUAUUGGAGAAGAAAGAGAAAUUUGACGGUAACCAAUGAAUAAGCUCCGGCUAACUACGUGCCAGCAGCCGCGGUCAUACGUAGGGAGCGAGCGUUAUCCGGAAUUAUUGGGCGUAAGGGGUGCGUAGAUGGUAGGUAUUAGUCUUUUGUAAAAAUGCUAGGCUCAACCUAGUAGGGCAAACGAUACUGAUGAACUAGAGUACGAGAGAGGCAAGUGGAACUACAUGUGUAGCGGUAAAAUGCGUAAAUAUAAGUAAGAACACCGGUGGCGAAGGCGGCUUGCUGGGCCUGUACUGACGUUGAGGCACGAAAGCGUGGGGAGCAAACAGGAUUAGAUACCCCAGUAGUC